UUGUGGCUUUCUUGCAAGUUG
RNAcentral lists this microRNA (21 nucleotides) under Oryza sativa (Asian cultivated rice). RNAcentral's name for it is "osa-miR444d.3". Its record names the gene osa-miR444d.3. The record is from miRBase by way of RNAcentral. Lineage: Eukaryota; Viridiplantae; Streptophyta; Magnoliopsida; Poales; Poaceae. RNAcentral also lists the same sequence under 2 other names.